This 498-nucleotide unclassified non-coding RNA is filed under the name uncultured Glomus. RNAcentral describes it as "SSU rRNA". It matches the Rfam family "Eukaryotic small subunit ribosomal RNA", at positions 569 to 1074 of the family's 1831-position model. The record is from RNAcentral. Lineage: Eukaryota; Fungi; Glomeromycota; Glomeromycetes; Glomerales; Glomeraceae.
AGCAGCCGCGGUAAUUCCAGCUCCAAUAGCGUAUAUUAAAGUUGUUGCAGUUAAAAAGCUCGUAGUUGAAUUUCGGGAUCAAUAUGUUGGUCGUGCCUCGGUACGUACUAGCAUAUUGGUUUCUCCUUCUGAAGAACCAUGAUGUCAUUUAUUUGGUGUCGUGGGGAAUCAGGACUGUUACUUUGAAAAAAUUAGAGUGUUUAAAGCAGGCUCACGCUUGAAUACAUUAGCAUGGAAUAAUGAAAUAGGACGUUUGAUUCUAUUUUGUUGGUUUCUAGGAUCGACGUAAUGAUUAAUAGGGAUAGUUGGGGGCAUUAGUAUUCAAUUGUCAGAGGUGAAAUUCUUGGAUUUAUUGAAGACUAACUACUGCGAAAGCAUUUGCCAAGGAUGUUUUCAUUAAUCAAGAACGAAAGUUAGGGGAUCGAAGACGAUCAGAUACCGUCGUAGUCUUAACCAUAAACUAUGCCGACUAGGGAUCGGAUGAUGUUAAUUUUUUAA